This 562-nucleotide ribosomal RNA is filed under the name uncultured archaeon. RNAcentral describes it as "bacterial SSU rRNA". It matches the Rfam family "Archaeal small subunit ribosomal RNA", at positions 894 to 1445 of the family's 1478-position model. The record is from RNAcentral.
UGUGCGGUUUAAUUGGAUUCAACCCCGGAAAACUCCCCAGUGCCGACGGACAGAUGAAAGCCAGUGUGAUGAGCUUGCUGGAUUGUUCGAGAGGUAGUGCAUGGCCCCCCGUUCAGUUCGUACCGUAAGGCGUUCUGUUAAGUCAGAUAACGAACGAGACCNUCAUCCCUAUUUGCUAAGGUUUCUCCCCUUCGGGGCGAGAUCACAGGACUAUAGGGAGACCGCUGGCGAGAAGUCAGAGGAAGGUGAGGGCAACGGUAGGUCAGUAUGCUCCGAAUGCACUGGGCUACACGCGCAAUACAAAGGACGGGACAAUGGGCCGCUGCUCCGAGAGGAAAGAUGGCUAUCCCGAAACCCGUUCGUAGUUCGGAUUGAGGGCUGUAACUCGCCCUCAUGAAGCUGGAUUAGGUAGUAAUCGCGUCUCAAAAAGGCGCGGUGAAUAUGCCCCUGCUCCUUGCACACACCGCCCGUCAAACCAUCUUAGUUGGGGGUGGGUGAGGCUGCCUUUUAGUGGGGUAUUCGAGCCUGCCUUCGACAAGGAGGGUUAAGUCGUAACAAGGUA